GGAAUAUUGGACAAUGGACCAAAAGUCUGAUCCAGCAAUUCUGUGUGCACGAUGAAGUUUUUCGGAAUGUAAAGUGCUUUCAGUUGGGAAGAAGUCAGUGACGGUACCAACAGAAGAAGCGACGGCUAAAUACGUGCCAGCAGCCGCGGUAAUACGUAUGUCGCAAGCGUUAUCCGGAUUUAUUGGGCGUAAAGCGCGUCUAGGCGGCUUAGUAAGUCUGAUGUGAAAAUGCGGGGCUCAACCCCGUAUUGCGUUGGAAACUGUUAAACUAGAGUACUGGAGAGGUAGGCGGAACUACAAGUGUAGAGGUGAAAUUCGUAGAUAUCUGUAGGAAUGCCGAUGGGGAAGCCAGCCUACUGGACAGAUACUGACGCUAAAGCGCGAAAGCGUGGGUAGCAAA
This 400-nucleotide ribosomal RNA is filed under the name uncultured bacterium. RNAcentral's name for it is "bacterial SSU rRNA". It matches the Rfam family "Bacterial small subunit ribosomal RNA", at positions 358 to 772 of the family's 1533-position model. The record is from RNAcentral.